Molecule: ribosomal RNA, 301 nt
Filed under: uncultured bacterium
Lineage: Bacteria
Description: partial 16S ribosomal RNA
Rfam family: Bacterial small subunit ribosomal RNA
Source: RNAcentral
CAGUCGCCGCGGGAAUACAGAGGGUGCAAGCGUUAAUCGGAAUUACUGGGCGUAAAGCGCGCGUAGGUGGUUUGUUAAGUUGGAUGUGAAAGCCCCGGGCUCAACCUGGGAACUGCAUCCAAAACUGGCAAGCUAGAGUACGGUAGAGGGUGGUGGAAUUUCCUGUGUAGCGGUGAAAUGCGUAGAUAUAGGAAGGAACACCAGUGGCGAAGGCGACCACCUGGACUGAUACUGACACUGAGGUGCGAAAGCGUGGGGAGCAAACAGGAUUAGAUACCCCUGUAGUCCCUGUCUCUUAUAC